RNAcentral lists this non-coding RNA (518 nucleotides) under Pan troglodytes (chimpanzee). Lineage: Eukaryota; Metazoa; Chordata; Mammalia; Primates; Hominidae. The record is from RNAcentral.
CUCACCUGGGGCAGCGUAGGUGUGCGUGACAUUGUGCUCCACCAGCACCUGGGCCACCGAGGGGUCUGGAACCGAGAAGGACUCGUUGUACGGAGGCUGGAACUGGUGGAGGGCCUGCUCCCCAUCCCCAAAGGUCCACCUGCCGGGGCGGUGGGAGGCACCAUGGCAGCAUCCUCGGGCAGCAUGAAGCAGAGCAGAAGGCAGAAGUGAAGGUGGAGCCCGCCCCCGCCCCGCCCCACCCCGCCCCACCCCAUCCCCUCCCCCCCGCCCCAUCCCCUCCCCCCCCGCCCCAUCCCCUCCCCCCCCCCCCCCCUCCCCUCCCCCCCACCCCCGCCCACCUACUGAGAGCUUGAAGACGCUCUGAUAAAUGACAUUGAAGACCACGUUCUGGAAGGUCAGGGACUGCUUGUCGUUGAUAGUCCACCGGAAGACCAUGUCCGAGCCGGCCUCCACCACGGGGCUGUACCUCUGCGGGGGGAGUGGUGUCAGCCUGGGCUCUGCGGAGGACUCUGCCCUUA